RNAcentral lists this ribosomal RNA (447 nucleotides) under uncultured bacterium. RNAcentral's name for it is "bacterial SSU rRNA". It matches the Rfam family "Bacterial small subunit ribosomal RNA", at positions 355 to 825 of the family's 1533-position model. The record is from RNAcentral.
UCGGGAAUUUUGGGCAAUGGGCGAAAGCCUGACCCAGCAACGCCGCGUGAAGGAUGAAGUAUUUCGGUAUGUAAACUUCGAAAGAAUAGGAAGAAUAAAUGACGGUACUAUUUAUAAGGUCCGGCUAACUACGUGCCAGCAGCCGCGGUAAUACGUAGGGACCAAGCGUUGUUCGGAUUUACUGGGCGUAAAGGGCGCGUAGGCGGCAAUUCAAGUCAUCUGUGAAAUCUCCGGGCUUAACUCGGAACGGUCAGAUGAUACCGCUUUGCUAGAGUGCAGAAGGGGCAAUCGGAAUUCUUGGUGUAGCGGUGAAAUGCGUAGAUAUCAAGAGGAACACCUGAGGUGAAGACGGGUUGCUGGGCUGACACUGACGCUGAGGCGCGAAAGCCAGGGGAGCAAACGGGAUUAGAUACCCAUGUAGUCCCUGAGCGGGCUGGCAAGGCGCAU